GCUUCAAAAAGCCCUAAGUGGUCCCUGUUCUGUCUUCCUGUCCCAGUGAAAUUGGAGAUAUACACACAGGCACCUCUUGACAUCAUUAGGGAGCAUAUCAUUUGCA
This is a long non-coding RNA of Gavialis gangeticus (Gharial), 106 nucleotides long. RefSeq lists it as uncharacterized. The record is from RefSeq and is a predicted model, not a curated record. The transcript is spliced from 3 exons. Lineage: Eukaryota; Metazoa; Chordata; Crocodylia; Gavialidae.